RNAcentral lists this ribosomal RNA (274 nucleotides) under uncultured bacterium. RNAcentral describes it as "partial 16S ribosomal RNA". It matches the Rfam family "Bacterial small subunit ribosomal RNA", at positions 523 to 796 of the family's 1533-position model. The record is from RNAcentral.
AUACGAAGGGAGCGAGCGUUAUUCGGAAUUACUGGGCGUAAAGGGCGUGUAGGCGGUUUAUUAAGUUAGUUGUUAAAGACCCCGGCUUAACCGGGGGGCAGCAAUUAAUACUGGUAGACUAGAGGAUAAGAGAGAGAAGUGGAAUUCUCGGAGUAGCGGUAAAAUGCGUAGAUCUCGAGAGGAACACCGAUGGCGAAGGCAGCUUCUUGGCUUAUUCCUGACGCUGAAGCGCGAAAGCGUGGGGAGCAAACAGGAUUAGAAACCCUAGUAGUCC